GACGAACGCUGGCGGCGUGCCUAGUACAUGCAAGUUGAGCGCUGAAGGUUGGUACUUGUACCAACUGGAUGAGCAGCGAACGGGUGAGUAACGCGUGGGGAAUCUGCCUUUGAGCGGGGGACAACAUUUGGAAACGAAUGCUAAUACCGCAUAAAAACUUUAAACACAAGUUUUAAGUUUGAAAGAUGCAAUUGCAUCACUCAAAGAUGAUCCCGCGUUGUAUUAGCUAGUUGGUGAGGUAAAGGCUCACCAAGGCGAUGAUACAUAGCCGACCUGAGAGGGUGAUCGGCCACAUUGGGACUGAGACACGGCCCAAACGCCUACGGGAGGCAGCAGUAGGGAAUCUUCGGCAAUGGACGAAAGUCUGACCGAGCAACGCCGCGGGAGUGAAGAAGGUUGUCGGAUCGUAAAACUCUGUUGGUAGAGAAGAACGUUGGUGAGAGUGGAAAGCUCAUCAAGUGACGGUAACUACCCAGAAAGGGACGGCUAACUACGUG
This 497-nucleotide ribosomal RNA is filed under the name uncultured bacterium. Its description in RNAcentral is "partial 16S ribosomal RNA". It matches the Rfam family "Bacterial small subunit ribosomal RNA", at positions 28 to 507 of the family's 1533-position model. The record is from RNAcentral.